UCCCUCUAUAAUAGGAGUAUAAAUAUAUUUUUAUCCCACAUAAUUAUCAUGUUUUAUUUAAUUUAUUUGAUGAUGUGAAUAUCUAUUUGAGCCCAGCUUCCUUCAUUGACCGUACGAUUCACCUUUGUUUGUUAUCUUUUCAAGCACAGUCGCGAGAUCCCUAGUGUGCACAUUCACCUUCAGCCCAUACUUCAUGAAUAGCGUCAGCGACAUCUUCUGCUCCACGCGAUGCCCCAGCGCCACCGUGAGGCGGUGGCGAAGCAACACCGCCGCCGCGAUGGAC
Molecule: long non-coding RNA, 283 nt
Filed under: Lotus japonicus
Lineage: Eukaryota; Viridiplantae; Streptophyta; Magnoliopsida; Fabales; Fabaceae
Description: long non-coding RNA (LJAP_LNC001939)
Source: RNAcentral